UGAAAACUGUCUUUAUUUUUUCAAAUUAAGGGAAUAUCUGUGGUGUGAUACCGCGGGCUCAUGGGCUAAGGACUUGGAUUGACAAGUCAAGCGCAGAUGAUUGUGUUGUUUCUUAUAAAGGCUUGUGUGUGUGUGUGCCUUCCUGUGUGUGUCCUUGUGUCAGUGGAACUGAAUCAGUGUGUUAGAGAAAGUGCUCCUCUGCUGUGCCGUCAUCGUGUGGAUGCUUCUUUUAAAGUUGGAACUCAUGUUUUUAUGAUCUGCUUCAUUUCAUUGAACCUUUAUUUCUAACCAUGAAGUCCCUUUGAGGUUACAGCCUCCUGGUUAGGUUUAGGCUGUUCUUGUGCUUCAGGCUGAAAUAUGAGGAGUAAGGAGUGGGGCUGGUUAGCCCUCAUGACCCUCACCAUAACACAUACGUCACAGGACAGUGUUUACCACAGAAACUCCAUGAAAUGAUCAAUGAGAACUUUAGAAACCCGUCAGUGUGAUGCUUCCAGUACAACAGCACCUCUGAGUGUGUGUGUUUACCUCUCAGACUAACUCCACCCUGACAUCAAGAAGAUGGAGGAAGAGGAUGGAGCAGCAUCUGCAGCAUCCAGCUGUGUGUCUGUGAGGAGUGACUGGUCCAAAGGAGAACCUCGACAGUUCAGUAAUGAACCUGCAGCAACAAUAGCUUCUGCACAGUGUGGAGAAAGAUCCAGAAGCAGAGCUGGACUGCAGACAGCCAGUCAGAGCAGCUGUGUACAAACAGAUGUUGGUCUGCAGGAGGUUUUAGAUGAACAUAAGAUCAGUCUGAGGAGGAGA
Oreochromis niloticus (Nile tilapia) is the source of this 801-nucleotide long non-coding RNA. RefSeq lists it as uncharacterized. The record is from RefSeq and is a predicted model, not a curated record. The transcript has 3 exons. NCBI's taxonomy places the organism in Eukaryota, Metazoa, Chordata, Actinopteri, Cichliformes, Cichlidae.